AGUGAACGCUGGCGGUAGGCCUAACACAUGCAAGUCGAACGGCAGCACAGUAAGAGCUUGCUCUUACGGGUGGCGAGUGGCGUACGGGUGAGGAAUACAUCGGAAUCUACUUUUUCGUGGGGGAUAACGUAGGGAAACUUACGCUAAUACCGCAUACGACCUACGGGUGAAAGCAGGGGAUCUUCGGACCUUGCGCGAUUGAAUGAGCCGAGGUCGGAUUAGCUAGUUGGCGGGGUAAAGGCCCACCAAGGCGACGAUCCGUAGCUGGUCUGAGCGGAUGAUCAGCGACACUGGAGCUGAGACACGGUCCAGACACCUACGGAAGGCAGCAGUGGGGAAUAUUGGACAAUGGGCGGAAGCCUGAUCCAGCCAUACCGCGUGGGUGAAGAAGGCCUUCGGGUUGUAAAGCCCUUUUGUUGGGAAAGAAAAGCAGCAGGUUAAUACCACGCUGUUCUGACGGUACCCAAAGAAUAAGCACCGGCUAACUUCGUG
This 492-nucleotide ribosomal RNA is filed under the name uncultured bacterium. RNAcentral's name for it is "partial 16S ribosomal RNA". It matches the Rfam family "Bacterial small subunit ribosomal RNA", at positions 29 to 507 of the family's 1533-position model. The record is from RNAcentral.